Molecule: transfer RNA, 89 nt
Filed under: Coniosporium apollinis CBS 100218
Lineage: Eukaryota; Fungi; Ascomycota; Dothideomycetes
Rfam family: tRNA
About the family: Transfer RNA (tRNA) molecules are approximately 80 nucleotides in length. Their secondary structure includes four short double-helical elements and three loops (D, anti-codon, and T loops).
Source: Rfam by way of RNAcentral
AGUCCGUUGGUCUAGUGGUAUGACGUUCGCUUCACAGAUGAACCCAUUUCGUCCGCGAAAGGUCCUGGGUUCGAUCCCCUGACGGACUA